This 344-nucleotide transfer-messenger RNA is filed under the name Christensenellales. RNAcentral describes it as "HGM11372 sp900767715 Standard tmRNA". It matches the Rfam family "transfer-messenger RNA". Rfam says of the family: Bacterial tmRNA, also known as 10Sa RNA or SsrA, is named for its dual tRNA and mRNA-like properties. Its role is to liberate the mRNA from a stalled ribosome. To accomplish this part of the tmRNA is used as a reading frame that ends in a translation stop signal. RNAcentral also lists the same sequence under 1 other name. The record is from RNAcentral. Lineage: Bacteria; Bacillati; Bacillota; Clostridia.
GGGGAUGAAAUAGUUUCGACAGUGUUGGUUAGGUUAGAAUACGCACGUAGUAGUAGGCGCUACUAUAAAAACCAAAUCGUUUAAUAAACGCAAACAAUAAUAAUGUAGCCGUUGCUGCCUAGUCAGCCGGCCGUUGACCUACUUGCACCGAAAGGGUAGCCAUCAACGUCAUAAUUUCGGUGAACGGACGCGUUCGAUUUCUCUAAAACGUGUCGGCAUUUAGAGAAUAGUUUGGUACAAGUCGUUAGCAGACUUCACCAAGCGAAAUAGAUUGCUAACUAAACGUGUAGGGUAUUCAGCAGAUUCAAUAUUGGACAUGGGUGCAACUCCCAUCAUCUCCACCA